Molecule: ribosomal RNA, 429 nt
Filed under: Bacteroidota bacterium
Lineage: Bacteria; Pseudomonadati; Bacteroidota
Description: Bacteroidetes bacterium partial 16S ribosomal RNA
Rfam family: Bacterial small subunit ribosomal RNA
Source: RNAcentral
UAGGGAAUCUUCGGCAAUGGGGGGAACCCUGACCGAGCAACGCCGCGUGAGUGAAGAAGGUUUUCGGAUCGUAAAGCUCUGUUGUUAAGGAAGAACGAGUGUGAGAAUGGAAAGUUCAUGCUGUGACGGUACUUAACCAGCAAGGGACGGCUAACUACGUGCCAGCAGCCGCGGUAAUACGUAGGUCCCGAGCGUUGUCCGGAUUUAUUGGGCGUAAAGCGAGCGCAGGCGGUUAGAAAAGUCUGAAGUGAAAGGCAGUGGCUCAACCAUUGUAGGCUUUGGAAACUGUUUAACGUGAGUACAGAAGGGGAAGGUGGAAUUCCAUGUGUGGCGGUGAAAUGCGUAGAUAUAUGGAGGAACACCGGUGGCGAAAACGGCUCACUGGUCUGUAACUGACGCUGAGGCUCGAAAGCGUGGGGAGCGAACAGG